UAGAGAGAGAAAGUUAGUGAGAGAAAGUCUCCAAACGCUCUCAAAUUUCUAACCGUUGGAGGCGUGCUUCUCCUUUCUCUACGUUGAUAAUUCUCCAAUUCAUGUCCCAAAUUGGCUGUUGAGAUGUAGAUUUCUAAGUAAAUUCUCGAUUCCAGAUUACGAGAAAUCUACACACAGUAUUAUCGCUGUUUGAUUUUUCCAUAAAUCUGAUUUUCCCCCAAUUUUACAUAUAUCGCAUAUUGACCCAGAUCCCC
RNAcentral lists this long non-coding RNA (254 nucleotides) under Erythranthe guttata (spotted monkey flower). RNAcentral's name for it is "long non-coding RNA (EGUT_LNC003334)". Lineage: Eukaryota; Viridiplantae; Streptophyta; Magnoliopsida; Lamiales; Phrymaceae. The record is from RNAcentral.